UACGGAGGAUCCUAGCGUUAUCCGGAUUUACUGGGUUUAAAGGGUGCGUAGGCGGGCGCUUAAGUCCGCGGUGAAAGUCUGCGGCUCAACCGUAGGAUUGCCGUGGAUACUGGGCGCCUUGGAUUCGGUCGGGGCGGGCGGAAUGCGUGGUGUAGCGGUGAAAUGCAUAGAUAUCACGCAGAACGCCGAUAGCGAAGGCAGCUCGCCGGGCCGAUAUCGACGCUGAUGCACGAAAGCGUGGGGAUCAAACAGGAUUAGAUACCCUGGUAGUCCACGCCGUAAACGAUGAUGGCUGGAUGUUGGCGAUACACCGUCAGCGUCUGAGGGAAACCAUUAAGCCAUCCACCUGGGGAGUACGGCCGCAAGGCUGAA
This 372-nucleotide ribosomal RNA is filed under the name uncultured bacterium. RNAcentral's name for it is "bacterial SSU rRNA". It matches the Rfam family "Bacterial small subunit ribosomal RNA", at positions 524 to 898 of the family's 1533-position model. The record is from RNAcentral.